RNAcentral lists this small RNA (29 nucleotides) under Bombyx mori (domestic silkworm). RNAcentral's name for it is "ovarian small RNA-12491". Lineage: Eukaryota; Metazoa; Arthropoda; Insecta; Lepidoptera; Bombycidae. The record is from RNAcentral.
AUCGCAGCGCUCCAAGAGCACGGUUGGGA